This 200-nucleotide ribosomal RNA is filed under the name uncultured bacterium. RNAcentral's name for it is "partial 16S ribosomal RNA". It matches the Rfam family "Bacterial small subunit ribosomal RNA", at positions 524 to 724 of the family's 1533-position model. The record is from RNAcentral.
UACGAAGGGGGCUAGCGUUGUUCGGAUUUACUGGGCGUAAAGCGCACGUAGGCGGAUUGGUAAGUUAGGGGUGAAAUCCCAGGGCUCAACCCUGGAACUGCCUUUAAUACUGCUAAUCUAGAGUCCGGAAGAGGUAAGUGAAUUCCUAGUGUAGAGGUGGAAUUCGUAGAUAUUAGGAAGAACACCAGUGGCGAAGGCGG